This 274-nucleotide ribosomal RNA is filed under the name uncultured bacterium. RNAcentral's name for it is "partial 16S ribosomal RNA". It matches the Rfam family "Bacterial small subunit ribosomal RNA", at positions 523 to 796 of the family's 1533-position model. The record is from RNAcentral.
AUACGGAGGGUCCAAGCGUUAUCCGGAAUCAUUGGGUUUAAAGGGUGCGCAGGCGGUUUAUUAAGUCAGUGGUGAAAUCUCGGGGCUCAACCUCGAAACUGCCAUUGAUACUGAUAAACUUGAGUUCAGUUGGAGUAGGCGGAAUGUGUAGUGUAGCGGUGAAAUGCUUAGAUAUUACACAGAACACCGAUAGCGAAGGCAGCUUACUAAACUGAUACUGACGCUGAGGCACGAAAGCGUGGGGAGCGAACAGGAUUAGAAACCCGAGUAGUCC